CUUAUCUUGCCACCGGGUAGGAUAAAUUAAGGUGUUCAGGCAUAUUCCAUUAGGUCUUAGAAGGAAUUUUGUUGUGGACAUUUUUUU
RNAcentral lists this non-coding RNA (87 nucleotides) under unclassified sequences. The record is from RNAcentral.